UCCGUUUGAUCCCGGCGGAGGCCACUGCUAUCGGGGUUUGAUUAAGCCAUGCGAGUCGAGAGAUUUCGGAUCUCGGCAUACUGCUCAGUAACACGUGGUCAAUCUGCCCUAUGGUGGAGGAUAUCCCCGGGAAACUGGGACUAAUACUCCAUAGAUUAGGUGAAUUGGAAUUAUCACUUAAUUGAAAGAUCCGUCGCCAUAGGAUGAGACUGCGUCCGAUUAGGUUGUUGUUGGGGUAUGUGCCCACCAAGCCUAUAAUCGGUACGGGUUGUGGGAGCAAGAGCCCGGAGAUGGACUCUGAGACACGAGUCCAGGCCCUACGGGGCGCAGCAGGCGCGAAACCUUUACAAUGCGGGCAACCGUGAUAAGGAAACCCCGAGUGGAUGAACAGUCAUCCUGUCCACCAGUUUAGAACACUGGUGAAGAAAGGGCCGGGCAAGACCGGUGCCAGCCGCCGCGGUAAUACCGGCGGCUCGAGUGGUGGCCACUAUUACUGGGCUUAAAGGGUCCGUAGCUUGCAUGAUCAGCUUCUUGAGAAAUCCACUGGCUUAACCAAUGGUCGUUCAGGAGGUACUGUCAUGCUAGGGACCGGGAGAGGUAAGGGGUACUGCCGGGGUAGGAGUGAAAUCCCUGUAAUCCUGGUGGGACCACCGGUGGCGAAGGCGCCUUACCAGAACGGCUCCGACAGUGAGGGACGAAAGCUGGGGGAGCGAACCGGAUUAGAUACCCGGGUAGUCCCAGCCGUAAACGAUGCGCGUUAGGUGUGUCAGUGACCACGUGUCACUGAGGUGCCGAAGGGAAACCGUGAAACGCGCCGCCUGGGAAGUACGGUCGCAAGGCUGAAACUUAAAGGAAUUGGCGGGGGAGCACCACAACAGGUGGAGCCUGCGGUUUAAUCGGACUCAACGCCGGGAACCUCACCAGAUAAGACAGCAGAAUGAAAGUCGGGAUGAAGACUCUACUAGACUCGCUGAGAGGAGGUGCAUGGCCGUCGUCAGUUCGUACUGUGAAGCAUCCUGUUUAGUCAGGCAACGAGCGAGACCCA
RNAcentral lists this ribosomal RNA (1045 nucleotides) under uncultured Methanomicrobiales archaeon. RNAcentral describes it as "bacterial SSU rRNA". It matches the Rfam family "Archaeal small subunit ribosomal RNA", at positions 1 to 1054 of the family's 1478-position model. Lineage: Archaea; Methanobacteriati; Methanobacteriota; Methanomicrobia; Methanomicrobiales. The record is from RNAcentral.